This 468-nucleotide ribosomal RNA is filed under the name uncultured bacterium. RNAcentral describes it as "partial 16S ribosomal RNA". It matches the Rfam family "Bacterial small subunit ribosomal RNA", at positions 28 to 507 of the family's 1533-position model. The record is from RNAcentral.
GACGAACGCUGGCGGCGUGCUUAACACAUGCAAGUCGAACGGAAAGGCCCUGCUUUUGUGGGGUGCUCGAGUGGCGAACGGGUGAGUAACACGUGAGUAACCUGCCCUUGACUUUGGGAUAACUUCAGGAAACUGGGGCUAAUACCGGAUAGGAGCUCCUGCUGCAUGGUGGGGGUUGGAAAGUUUCGGCGGUUGGGGAUGGACUCGCGGCUUAUCAGCUUGUUGGUGGGGUAGUGGCUUACCAAGGCUUCGACGGGUAGCCGGCCUGAGAGGGUGACCGGCCACAUUGGGACUGAGAUACGGCCCAGACUCCUACGGGAGGCAGCAGUGGGGAAUAUUGCACAAUGGGCGGAAGCCUGAUGCAGCGACGCCGCGUGAGGGAUGACGGCCUUCGGGUUGUAAACCGCUUUCGGCAGUGACGAAGCGAGAGUGACGGUAAUGGGUAAAGAAGCACCGGCUAACUACGUG